Molecule: non-coding RNA, 45 nt
Filed under: Schistosoma mansoni
Lineage: Eukaryota; Metazoa; Platyhelminthes; Trematoda; Strigeidida; Schistosomatidae
Source: RNAcentral
AUCUAUCUGACUCGUCCCAAAUAGAACGAAACGUACUUUCUGGAU